RNAcentral lists this ribosomal RNA (499 nucleotides) under uncultured Actinomycetospora sp. RNAcentral describes it as "partial 16S ribosomal RNA". The record is from RNAcentral. Lineage: Bacteria; Bacillati; Actinomycetota; Actinomycetes; Pseudonocardiales; Pseudonocardiaceae.
CACGUAGUUGGCCGGUGCUUCUUCUCGACCUACCGUCAACCCGCCAACAAGACGGGCCUUCGUCGAUCGCGAAAGAGGUUUACAACCCGAAGGCCGUCAUCCCUCACGCCGGCGUUGCUGCGUCAGGCUUUCGCCCAUUGCGCAAGAUUCCCCACUGCUGCCUCCCGUAGGAGUCUGGGCCGUGUCUCAGUCCCAGUGUGGCCGAUCACCCUCUCAGGCCGGCUAUCCGUCGUCGCCUUGGUAGGCCAUCACCCCACCAACAAGCUGAUAGACCGCGGGCCCAUCCCCCACCGACAAAAACUUUCCACCACUCGGCAUGCACCAAGAGGUCCUAUCCGGUAUUAGACCCAGUUUCCCAGGCUUAUCCCGAAGUGGAGGGCAGGUCACCCACGUGUUACUCACCCGUUCGCCGCUCGUGUACCCCGAAGGGCCUUACCGCUCGACUUGCAUGUGUUAAGCACGCCGCCAGCGUCGUCCUCGUAGCCAGGAUCAAAACUCU